GUUUCAGGUCCAAGGCUCUGAUGUCCACCUUCUUAAACUCUGUCACCAGCUGGGAUCUUCUGAUGCUUUGAUUUCUGCAUAAAAACUAAAAGAAGUCCAAUAAAGCCCGGACUUCACUGUGGCUCCACUUCUCUGGCUCUGGCUCCAUUUUGGUAAAUGUGAAGGUAGAAAGUGUGUGUGAGCUGAUGUGGAUGUGAAUUC
Molecule: long non-coding RNA, 201 nt
Organism: Fundulus heteroclitus (mummichog)
Lineage: Eukaryota; Metazoa; Chordata; Actinopteri; Cyprinodontiformes; Fundulidae
Exons: 3
Source: RefSeq, a predicted model, not a curated record